GCGCCUGUAACUCAGUUGGACAGAGUAUCGGAUUUCUAAUCCGGCAGUCGCAGGUUCGAGUCCUGCCAGGCGUG
Molecule: transfer RNA, 74 nt
Filed under: Candidatus Woesearchaeota archaeon
Lineage: Archaea; Nanobdellati; Candidatus Woesearchaeota
Description: tRNA-Arg
Rfam family: tRNA
About the family: Transfer RNA (tRNA) molecules are approximately 80 nucleotides in length. Their secondary structure includes four short double-helical elements and three loops (D, anti-codon, and T loops).
Source: RNAcentral